Long non-coding RNA from Oncorhynchus gorbuscha (pink salmon), 347 nucleotides. RefSeq lists it as uncharacterized. The transcript is spliced from 4 exons. The record is from RefSeq and is a predicted model, not a curated record. NCBI's taxonomy places the organism in Eukaryota, Metazoa, Chordata, Actinopteri, Salmoniformes, Salmonidae.
GGACAAGUGACAUUUAUUGUCUAGAUCUAGAAUCAUGGACAUGGUACGAAAUAGUACCAGCAUCCAAUGUGCCAAUGGGAAGGUCGUGGCAUACCCUCACUGCAAUAUCUGACAGCGGUUUGUUUCUAUUUGGAGGACUGAGUAUAGACUGCAAACCAAUGAGCGAUGGCUGGGUAUUUGAUGUUGGGACGAAGAAAUGGAGGGAGUUUGAGCAUCCAUACAUGAACCAAACCAAGGUUGUGGCACACAGCAUGCCAAGGGAAAGACUCUGAUGUCAUUGUGUUUGGGGGUCGUUGCAACUACAUCCUUCGAGUAGACACAGUAAGUAUAAUGGAAACCACUCAAGG